AGCUGGGGGUGAAGGCAAUUUCCGGGGAGCCUCUAAGGAGUCAGCGGGUGGGAGGUCCCCGGGGAAACUGAUUGAAGGAGAGAACUAACACCCUAAAGUCAUCUUCUGACCUACAGAGACCGACACCCACCCUCCACGGGACAAAUGCACCCACCUCAUCCCUACUCCUGACAGCCUCUGGGCCCGCCAUAU
Mus caroli (Ryukyu mouse) is the source of this 192-nucleotide long non-coding RNA. RefSeq lists it as uncharacterized. Lineage: Eukaryota; Metazoa; Chordata; Mammalia; Rodentia; Muridae. The record is from RefSeq and is a predicted model, not a curated record.